CCCUAUUAUUUUUAUUGUAAAAUUGUAAGCUGGAGUAUUAAUAGUUAUGGUCUUGAAACUUAAAGAAUUUGGCGGUAUUAUAGUCUAUUUAGAGGAAUCUGUUAUGUAAUCGAUAAUCCACGUUGAACCUUACUUAUAUUAAUUUUUGUAUACCGCUGUUUAAGAAUAUAUUUUUAGGUAAUUUUCUUAAUAUUAAAUUAAUUAAUACUUCAAGUCAAGGUGCAGUAAUAUAUAAGUUGAAUAAUGGAUUACAAUAAAAUUUAUUUAUAUGGAUU
Molecule: ribosomal RNA, 275 nt
Filed under: Acromantis insularis
Lineage: Eukaryota; Metazoa; Arthropoda; Insecta; Mantodea; Hymenopodidae
Description: partial 12S ribosomal RNA
Source: RNAcentral